ACCCUCCAGUUCCCUUUCCCAUCAGAUCUGAACACUGGUCUUGGUGGUCGUAAAAGGAGGAAAAGUAAUACUGAAGCUGGCCUCGCAGUCUUGUAGUUUGGUAUAUAGCAUGUGGGCUAGUUUCAAACAAGG
This 132-nucleotide small nucleolar RNA is filed under the name Microcebus murinus (gray mouse lemur). Its description in RNAcentral is "Small nucleolar RNA SNORA61 (ENSMICG00000043224.1)". It matches the Rfam family "Small nucleolar RNA SNORA61". Rfam says of the family: ACA61 is a member of the H/ACA class of snoRNA that guide the sites of modification of uridines to pseudouridines. The record is from Rfam by way of RNAcentral. Lineage: Eukaryota; Metazoa; Chordata; Mammalia; Primates; Cheirogaleidae.